RNAcentral lists this non-coding RNA (198 nucleotides) under bovine gut metagenome. RNAcentral describes it as "raiA RNA". It matches the Rfam family "raiA RNA". The record is from RNAcentral.
GUUCGGGUCUGUGGUUGAAAGCCGAAGCCAGUCGCAGGCAAAACGGUCCACGUAAGCUGGGGAAACGCCCAGUGAGCACGGUGCGGUUUAGACGUAAGCCCGGCCGGACGCAAGUCCGAGAGAGCGGAGUGGGGGCCGAUAAUGGCUAUGAGCAAUGCUCCUGCCGGCGAGUGUGGGGUCAAAAACCAGGUCAGCCAA